RNAcentral lists this small nuclear RNA (81 nucleotides) under Mus pahari (shrew mouse). RNAcentral describes it as "predicted gene, 22479 (MGP_PahariEiJ_G0033198.1)". Lineage: Eukaryota; Metazoa; Chordata; Mammalia; Rodentia; Muridae. The record is from RNAcentral.
AGCUUUGCACAGUGACAGUAUUGUAGCCGAUGAGAUUUAUCCAAGGUACAAUUAUUGGUAAUUAGAAAUUUGACAUGUUGG